RNAcentral lists this ribosomal RNA (2902 nucleotides) under Escherichia coli. RNAcentral's name for it is "23S ribosomal RNA". It matches the Rfam family "Bacterial large subunit ribosomal RNA". The record is from RNAcentral. Lineage: Bacteria; Pseudomonadati; Pseudomonadota; Gammaproteobacteria; Enterobacterales; Enterobacteriaceae.
UUAAGCGACUAAGCGUACACGGUGGAUGCCCUGGCAGUCAGAGGCGAUGAAGGACGUGCUAAUCUGCGAUAAGCGUCGGUAAGGUGAUAUGAACCGUUAUAACCGGCGAUUUCCGAAUGGGGAAACCCAGUGUGAUUCGUCACACUAUCAUUAACUGAAUCCAUAGGUUAAUGAGGCGAACCGGGGGAACUGAAACAUCUAAGUACCCCGAGGAAAAGAAAUCAACCGAGAUUCCCCCAGUAGCGGCGAGCGAACGGGGAGGAGCCCAGAGCCUGAAUCAGUGUGUGUGUUAGUGGAAGCGUCUGGAAAGGCGCGCGAUACAGGGUGACAGCCCCGUACACAAAAAUGCACAUAUUGUGAGCUCGAUGAGUAGGGCGGGACACGUGGUAUCCUGUCUGAAUAUGGGGGGACCAUCCUCCAAGGCUAAAUACUCCUGACUGACCGAUAGUGAACCAGUACCGUGAGGGAAAGGCGAAAAGAACCCCGGCGAGGGGAGUGAAAAAGAACCUGAAACCGUGUACGUACAAGCAGUGGGAGCCUCUUUUAUGGGGUGACUGCGUACCUUUUGUAUAAUGGGUCAGCGACUUAUAUUCUGUAGCAAGGUUAACCGAAUAGGGGAGCCGAAGGGAAACCGAGUCUUAACUGGGCGUUAAGUUGCAGGGUAUAGACCCGAAACCCGGUGAUCUAGCCAUGGGCAGGUUGAAGGUUGGGUAACACUAACUGGAGGACCGAACCGACUAAUGUUGAAAAAUUAGCGGAUGACUUGUGGCUGGGGGUGAAAGGCCAAUCAAACCGGGAGAUAGCUGGUUCUCCCCGAAAGCUAUUUAGGUAGCGCCUCGUGAAUUCAUCUCCGGGGGUAGAGCACUGUUUCGGCAAGGGGGUCAUCCCGACUUACCAACCCGAUGCAAACUGCGAAUACCGGAGAAUGUUAUCACGGGAGACACACGGCGGGUGCUAACGUCCGUCGUGAAGAGGGAAACAACCCAGACCGCCAGCUAAGGUCCCAAAGUCAUGGUUAAGUGGGAAACGAUGUGGGAAGGCCCAGACAGCCAGGAUGUUGGCUUAGAAGCAGCCAUCAUUUAAAGAAAGCGUAAUAGCUCACUGGUCGAGUCGGCCUGCGCGGAAGAUGUAACGGGGCUAAACCAUGCACCGAAGCUGCGGCAGCGACGCUUAUGCGUUGUUGGGUAGGGGAGCGUUCUGUAAGCCUGUGAAGGUGUGCUGUGAGGCAUGCUGGAGGUAUCAGAAGUGCGAAUGCUGACAUAAGUAACGAUAAAGCGGGUGAAAAGCCCGCUCGCCGGAAGACCAAGGGUUCCUGUCCAACGUUAAUCGGGGCAGGGUGAGUCGACCCCUAAGGCGAGGCCGAAAGGCGUAGUCGAUGGGAAACAGGUUAAUAUUCCUGUACUUGGUGUUACUGCGAAGGGGGGACGGAGAAGGCUAUGUUGGCCGGGCGACGGUUGUCCCGGUUUAAGCGUGUAGGCUGGUUUUCCAGGCAAAUCCGGAAAAUCAAGGCUGAGGCGUGAUGACGAGGCACUACGGUGCUGAAGCAACAAAUGCCCUGCUUCCAGGAAAAGCCUCUAAGCAUCAGGUAACAUCAAAUCGUACCCCAAACCGACACAGGUGGUCAGGUAGAGAAUACCAAGGCGCUUGAGAGAACUCGGGUGAAGGAACUAGGCAAAAUGGUGCCGUAACUUCGGGAGAAGGCACGCUGAUAUGUAGGUGAAGUCCCUUGCGGAUGGAGCUGAAAUCAGUCGAAGAUACCAGCUGGCUGCAACUGUUUAUUAAAAACACAGCACUGUGCAAACACGAAAGUGGACGUAUACGGUGUGACGCCUGCCCGGUGCCGGAAGGUUAAUUGAUGGGGUCAGCGCAAGCGAAGCUCUUGAUCGAAGCCCCGGUAAACGGCGGCCGUAACUAUAACGGUCCUAAGGUAGCGAAAUUCCUUGUCGGGUAAGUUCCGACCUGCACGAAUGGCGUAAUGAUGGCCAGGCUGUCUCCACCCGAGACUCAGUGAAAUUGAACUCGCUGUGAAGAUGCAGUGUACCCGCGGCAAGACGGAAAGACCCCGUGAACCUUUACUAUAGCUUGACACUGAACAUUGAGCCUUGAUGUGUAGGAUAGGUGGGAGGCUUAGAAGUGUGGACGCCAGUCUGCAUGGAGCCGACCUUGAAAUACCACCCUUUAAUGUUUGAUGUUCUAACGUUGGCCCCUAAUCGGGGUUGCGGACAGUGUCUGGUGGGUAGUUUGACUGGGGCGGUCUCCUCCUAAAGAGUAACGGAGGAGCACGAAGGUUGGCUAAUCCUGGUCGGACAUCAGGAGGUUAGUGCAAUGGCAUAAGCCAGCUUGACUGCGAGCGUGACGGCGCGAGCAGGUGCGAAAGCAGGUCAUAGUGAUCCGGUGGUUCUGAAUGGAAGGGCCAUCGCUCAACGGAUAAAAGGUACUCCGGGGAUAACAGGCUGAUACCGCCCAAGAGUUCAUAUCGACGGCGGUGUUUGGCACCUCGAUGUCGGCUCAUCACAUCCUGGGGCUGAAGUAGGUCCCAAGGGUAUGGCUGUUCGCCAUUUAAAGUGGUACGCGAGCUGGGUUUAGAACGUCGUGAGACAGUUCGGUCCCUAUCUGCCGUGGGCGCUGGAGAACUGAGGGGGGCUGCUCCUAGUACGAGAGGACCGGAGUGGACGCAUCACUGGUGUUCGGGUUGUCAUGCCAAUGGCACUGCCCGGUAGCUAAAUGCGGAAGAGAUAAGUGCUGAAAGCAUCUAAGCACGAAACUUGCCCCGAGAUGAGUUCUCCCUGACUCCUUGAGAGUCCUGAAGGAACGUUGAAGACGACGACGUUGAUAGGCCGGGUGUGUAAGCGCAGCGAUGCGUUGAGCUAACCGGUACUAAUGAACCGUGAGGCUUAACCUU